This 75-nucleotide transfer RNA is filed under the name Parvasolenaia rivularis. RNAcentral's name for it is "Solenaia rivularis tRNA-His". The record is from RNAcentral. Lineage: Eukaryota; Metazoa; Mollusca; Bivalvia; Unionida; Unionidae.
GGCAAGAUAGUCUAAGAUAAAGAGUAAGACAGUAGGGUGUGGUCCUUCAUAUGUGCCAUCAAGGUGCUCUUGCCG